UUGGAGGAUGAAACAAAGGAAUCUGACU
This 28-nucleotide non-coding RNA is filed under the name Homo sapiens (human). The record is from RNAcentral. Lineage: Eukaryota; Metazoa; Chordata; Mammalia; Primates; Hominidae.